UGGGGAAUUUUGGACAAUGGGCGAAAGCCUGAUCCAGCAAUGCCGCGUGUGUGAAGAAGGCCUUCGGGUUGUAAAGCACUUUUGUCCGGAAAGAAAUCCUUGGCUCUAAUACAGUCGGGGGAUGACGGUACCGGAAGAAUAAGCACCGGCUAACUACGUGCCAGCAGCCGCGGUAAUACGUAGGGUGCAAGCGUUAAUCGGAAUUACUGGGCGUAAAGCGUGCGCAGGCGGUUUGCUAAGACCGAUGUGAAAUCCCCGGGCUCAACCUGGGAACUGCAUUGGUGACUGGCAGGCUAGAGUAUGGCAGAGGGGGUAGAAUUCCACGUGUAGCAGUGAAAUGCGUAGAGAUGUGGAGGAAUACCGAUGGCGAAGGCAGCCCCCUGGGCCAAUACUGACGCUCAUGCACGAAAGCGUGGGGGAGCAAAACAGGAUUAGAUACCCUGGUAGUCCACGCCCUAAAACGAUGUCAACUAGUUGUUGGGGAUUCAUUUCCUUAGUAACGUAGCUAACGCGUGAAGUUGACCGCCUGGGGAGUACGGUCGCAAGAUUAAAACUCAAAGGAAUUGAC
RNAcentral lists this ribosomal RNA (568 nucleotides) under uncultured bacterium. RNAcentral's name for it is "partial 16S ribosomal RNA". It matches the Rfam family "Bacterial small subunit ribosomal RNA", at positions 355 to 914 of the family's 1533-position model. The record is from RNAcentral.